CCUACGGGUCGCACCAGUGGGGAAUAUUGCACAAUGGGCGCAAGCCUGAUGCAGCCAUGCCGCGUGUAUGAAGAAGGCCUUCGGGUUGUAAAGUACUUUCAGCGGGGAAGAAGGCGAUAAGGUUAAUAACCUUGUCGAUUGACGUUACCCGCAGAAGAAGCACCGGCUAACUCCGUGCCAGCAGCCGCGGUGAUACGGAGGGUGCAAGCGUUAACCGGAAUUACUGGGCGUAGAGCGCACGCAGGCGGUCUGUCAAGUCGGGUGUGAAAUCCCCGGGCUCAGCCUGGGAACUGCAUUCGAAACUGGCAGGCUAGAGUCUUGUAGAGGGGGGUAGAAUUCCAGGUGUAGCGGUGAAAUGCGUAGAGAUCUGGAGGAAUACCGGUGGCGAAGGCGGCCCCCUGGACAAAGACUGACGCUCAGGUGCGAAAGCGUGGGGAGCAAACAGGAUUAGAUACCCCUGUAGUC
This 465-nucleotide ribosomal RNA is filed under the name uncultured bacterium. RNAcentral's name for it is "bacterial SSU rRNA". It matches the Rfam family "Bacterial small subunit ribosomal RNA", at positions 338 to 795 of the family's 1533-position model. The record is from RNAcentral.